This 98-nucleotide ribosomal RNA is filed under the name Phytophthora infestans T30-4. Its description in RNAcentral is "28S ribosomal RNA". It matches the Rfam family "Eukaryotic large subunit ribosomal RNA", at positions 2900 to 2997 of the family's 3401-position model. The record is from RNAcentral. Lineage: Eukaryota; Oomycota; Peronosporomycetes; Peronosporales; Peronosporaceae.
UUGCGAAGCAGAACUCGCCAAUUGUUGGAUUGUUCACCCACUAAUAGGGAACGUGAGCUGGGUUUACACCGUCGUGAGACAGGUCAGUUUUACCCUAC